CUGAAGGGAGAAUAUCUCCUGGACAAAGGCUGCUUUUUGAGAAGGAGAGUUCUGUAGCCAGAGAUCCUAUCACUAGUUGAGCUACCCACAGAUGUCAUGCAACUGCAACACACAGGCUAGCACUUCACGCUAGUACUGAAAAGACAGCCUGAAGGAAAGAGCAGAUGGAAUGCUGUGGAGCAGGCCAAACACAGACAAGCAGACAAGUUCAAGCUGUGAUCAUGUCCUGUUUCCGUGGUGGUGUUUCUGGGAUAACAGCAUCUGGUGGAAAUGAGAUAUGUAUGUUGUACUAUGAAUGUGUACUGAGGACAACUGGAAGUGGAUGUAAAGCUAGAAAUAGGCAGACCAGAAAAAAAAAAAAGAACUCUGAGGAAACCUAGAAGGCAAACUUGUGAAUUUCAAGAAUUCAUAUAAUUGGGUAGGACUUUUUGUUUACAUAUAUAAAUAUUUCCAUCUAUAAACUUAGGCCAAAAUAAAAAUCUUCUUGCUAAACACCAGGAUAGACCAGAUAUAAAAUUUAGUUUUAUGCUGUCUCUGAAGUUUAAUAUUCUGUUAGCUAAUUGUAAGUAAUAUAAUUCUUAUUUAGCAGAUGAUUGUUAUUUUUUCUUGUUAUUUGUGUGGAUCUAUGAGUACACUUGAAGAGAAAUGAGAAUUAAAAUGCUCAAGUAUAACAUAUUUAGUUUAUAAACACUGAAAAAAAUGUUGAAAAACUAGCACUGUUGAAAAAUAAACUUAUUUUAAAACUUUUAUUUUAAAACUAUUCAUUUUAUCAACUUUCCUUGACCAUGAAGGCUUUUGGGGAGGGGAGGGAGAGGAAUUAAUGCAACAUUCAUUGUACUAUGAAGUCUUAAAAAUCUGUUUUUGAGCAUAUGGUCAUUAUCUCAAGCAGAGGAGUAGUAGACUACCUGCAUGAGAAUUAUGUAUGCAAGAUGUUAAAACAAUACAAUCACAGACUCUCUUUGAAGAUAAAGUCUGAAGAUGAGGGAAUGAUGUCCAGUGACCUAUGUGAGUUCUAAAUACAAUUUUGUGAAUAUGCUCCGAAAAUAAAAGGCAGUGCCAGUGUGAUGAAACAAGCCAGCUUUGAGAGACAUGAUGAUUUUUGUCAUUUGAAGCUCUGAUCUUGCACUUAUUAAACUUACACUCAAUAGUGUGGGCCAAAUAAAUUGUACUACCCAAUCUUUACUACAGGUACAUAUUUUUUAACAUCUUACAACAUUUUCUGAUGUUCUUUCGGUCCUAUUAGUCCACUUGGAAACAAACAACAACAAAAAAGGGACUUA
This is a non-coding RNA of Meleagris gallopavo (turkey), 1280 nucleotides long. Lineage: Eukaryota; Metazoa; Chordata; Aves; Galliformes; Phasianidae. The record is from RefSeq and is a predicted model, not a curated record.